This is a long non-coding RNA of Cydia pomonella (codling moth), 504 nucleotides long. RefSeq lists it as uncharacterized. The transcript has 3 exons. NCBI's taxonomy places the organism in Eukaryota, Metazoa, Arthropoda, Insecta, Lepidoptera, Tortricidae. The record is from RefSeq and is a predicted model, not a curated record.
UUGGUCAAGCAAAUCUUGUCAGUAGAAAAACGCGGCAAAUUUGAAAAAUCGCGGGCUAGCAACACUGUGUUCGAAUAAUUCCAAAAUCGCGUGUAAUCUGUGUUUUAUCUGUAGAAUGUGGAUCGUCCAUCUUGUUUGUUUACAUUCCGAAUCGGUGCUAAUUCAAGAGAAAUUUCUGCUCCCAGCAUUAAAAUAAAUAUCAAUAUAUUCAAUAAUAUUGUGCAUGACCAUAAGCAAAGUCAAGAUGCCUACAAUGGUUAAAAGGCUUAAAUAAAGAUAAAACGUAUGCCUAACUAUAUCCAAUAAGACCACGAAUUGUGCCCUCGAAACCGCAACUGAUUCGAUUGUUCCCAAUAUCAACAGACGAAGUCCUCAAAUAUUUUCAAAGGAUUAAAACUCGCCCAAUAUAAGGCGUUCGUAAAAGUUUCUCUUCAUACAAAACUUACCUACGGCGGUUUACGUACAUACGUGUACAACGCAAACAAGACGAAAAAUAAACUUGUU